RNAcentral lists this transfer RNA (72 nucleotides) under bacterium. Its description in RNAcentral is "tRNA-Arg". It matches the Rfam family "tRNA". From Rfam's summary of the family: Transfer RNA (tRNA) molecules are approximately 80 nucleotides in length. The record is from RNAcentral.
AGUCCCUUAGUGUAAUGGAUAACACGAAACACUACGGAUGUUUUAAUGAGGGUUCGAAUCCUUCAGGGACUA